This is a long non-coding RNA of Dermacentor albipictus, 186 nucleotides long. RefSeq lists it as uncharacterized. NCBI's taxonomy places the organism in Eukaryota, Metazoa, Arthropoda, Arachnida, Ixodida, Ixodidae. The record is from RefSeq and is a predicted model, not a curated record.
CGUCGAACGAGCACGUGGUGAGUGGACAUGAUUCGUGCUGCAGUGGUGCCAUUCCGUACAAGUGGACGAAGGCUUUUCCCAGCGACUUCCAAAUGCCACUAUCUCACGACAACCGGUUCGGUCCUAUGCCUGUAAAUUUCCGAAUUUCAUCACCGAUCCAAGUUUCUGCUUGUCUUCGGCUGGGCG